RNAcentral lists this ribosomal RNA (253 nucleotides) under uncultured bacterium. Its description in RNAcentral is "partial 16S ribosomal RNA". It matches the Rfam family "Bacterial small subunit ribosomal RNA", at positions 524 to 776 of the family's 1533-position model. The record is from RNAcentral.
UACGGAGGGUGCAAGCGUUAUCCGGAUUCACUGGGCUUAAAGGGUGCGUAGGUGGGUUGGUAAGUCAGUGGUGAAAUCUCCAGGCUUAACUUGGAAACUGCCAUUGAUACUAUCAAUCUUGAAUACCGUGGAGGUCAGCGGAAUAUGUCAUGUAGCGGUGAAAUGCUUAGAUAUGACAUAGAACAUCGAUUGCGAAGGCAGCUCGCUACGCUAUUAUUGACACUGAGGCACGAAAGCGUGGGGAUCAAACAGG